UCAUGCGGGAGAGCGGCUGGCGGCGCAGCGCGUUGGCGGAGAGCUUGCGGAGGGCCGUCGCCAUGGCCAUGGUGGGCGGUGGCGGGCGCGUCCACCUCCUCCUCCUCCUGUGAUGUGCUGUGGGUUGGAGCCUCGACUCGCUCGCGAGUUUGGGAGGCAGUGGAAUUGGUAGCUUUUUAUGGGGUUUAUUUAUAUACUCGUAUUUUAUUUUAGGCGGAUAAUCUAUGCCCGUCCCGUGCUCGUGGGUUUGGUUGGAUGGCCAGGCAGGCGCAGGCCAGUGCUUGGUCUCCAUCAGCGUCAGCGCCCACCACUCCACUCCUCACCAAACGCAUCAGCGUCACCAACCCAUGAACAGAUCAGUGAGUCUCCAUUCAUUUCAGUUUCAUUUUUUCUUGCACGUAUUCGGCAUUCCCGUUCCUACUCCACGUUUUCCUCUAAAAUCUUCCGUUCUUUUUUUUGUUAGUCCUCAUUUAUCUUGCACCCAAGUGUAUUCGGCAUUCCGGCUUCUAGUCCACGUUUUCCUCUAAAAUCUUCAGUUCUUUUUUCAUUUUAUAUAUUUGUGUUUUUGGAAUAUACUCUUUUUUUUGCCACUUUUACUUGUAGCACAGCGUCCAUGACAACGUAAACACUGAGCACAUUGUCUUAAAUUUAGGGUUUGUUUGGUUUCUUUGUUAAAUUUUAGCUAGCUAAAACUAUUUUAGCUAUUCUUAGAAAAAUAGUGUGACUAAACUAUUUUAGCUUUUUUUAGAGUUUGUUCGCUAGUCUAAAAAGUCAUGGUUGAAAAUACUGUUUGUUGAUUUAUUGUGAGAGAAAGAUAUUGUUGGCUGGCAGAAAAAGUACGGCUUAGUCAGUAAAACGAGUUUAGCUGGCUAAAAUUUAGCAAAGAGAACUAAUCAGACCCUUACUUUCUCUUUUGGUUUCUAAGAUUCAACUUGUUGAAAUGGCAAUUCCAGUUUUUAGACAGUGAGAAUUUUCUGGACUGCAACUGAAAGAUUCUGGGCAUCUAGGUGAUUUAUUAUUAUUAGCGUAAACUGUACCUGUUUUUUAACCCGCCAGAUUAUUAUAUACUGUACUGAACAGUCAACUAACAUAUAUUCCCAAAAAAAACAAAGAGUAUCAGUAUCAACAGACAGGAAAUUUGGUUUCAUCUGGGCCAGAUUCGCAUCUCAAAUGACCGCUAGAGCAAGGGCAAAGUUGGUCCCUGGACUGUGCCCUGAAUAGUUUCAGCAUGGAUUAGGGCUUGUUUAGAUACAUCCAAAAACCCAAAACUUUUUACAAGAUUCUCCAUCACAUCGAAUCUUACGGCACAUGCAUGAAACAUUAAAUAUAGAUAAAAAAGAUAACUAAUUGCACAGUUUGACUGUAAAUCACGAGACGAAUCUUUUAAGCCUAAUUACUCCAUGAUUAGACAAUGUUUGUCAAAUAAAAACGAAAGUACUACAGUGUUAAAAUCCAAAAAUUUUUUGAAUCUAAACGAAGCCUUAUUAUUAAACUUUCACGAUGACCACCAACCAUAGCACGAAAGAUUCUUCACAUCGAACCAGACAUGGUUGAGCCUGCGCCCUGCAGGAACGGAGGGCCUACCCUGGAGCUGUGAUUUGGUAAAGUGGCACCAAUCGUAAGGCAGCUCAACCACUGAACCUACACUCUAAAUCAUCCAUCGCCAAACACUCAGAAAGCGACAUCACAAGCAAUAUUAUUCUAAACGCUAAACAGUACUCAAUCCAUCCCAAAUCGUUUGACUUUUUUAAUAUCAAGUUUAACUACUCGUCUUAUUCAAAGUUUUGUACAAAAUAUCAUUUUUUUUGUUGUGUAUUGGUUUAUUAAUAAAAGUUCUUCAAGAUUGACUUAAAUUUUAACUAUAUUUGCAUAAAUUUUUUGAAUAAGACGAGUAGUCAAAUUUAGGGUAAAAAAGUCAAACGACUUACAAUUUGGGAUGGAGGGAGUAAAUAUUUAGUCACCCUUUAUUUAGGUUUACAUAGAGUUAAACGGUCUAAACAGUUUUAUAUAUUAACAAUAAAUAUACAUAUUUUUGUACAUAAAAGUAAAUAUGCUAGAAAGUAUAUGUAAAAAGUAAGUAUGCUACUAAAUAAUAUUUUUUCUGAAGAAAUCUAAAUCCCAUUACACUUCAUAUAGAUGCUAAUUACUCUAGUGUUGAGUGUUGAUUGUGAUAGUUGCAAUCCUCCAAUUGACUAAAUUAUGAACUAAAUGGCCAUUUAGCUCAUUUAAACUUGUUUAACUCAAUUCUAUUUGGACAGUUGUUAACAGUUUAAACAGGUUUAAAUAAUCUAACCGUUAAAUGCACCAUUUAGAGCCUAAACAACGCAGGUGGCCUCCGUUUACCGUUUAAACACAGCCUAUUUAGGCGACCAAUGAUCAUGAGAGAUUUUUUUUUUCACAUAAGAGAAGGUUAUUGCCAAAUCAUUGUUCCUUCUAUGCAUGAAUCAAUCAUUUAACACAAUUACAGCAUGUCGGGAAAAAGUAGAUUCUAUCGUAGGUCUAUGAUCAGGCGGGAAAAAGUGAUUUUAUCGGAAAGUCUAUGGAGAGGACUGCGCCAAGGUGUAGCUGCAUUGCGUUUGCGUACGUGCAUCCAGGCCACCCGAUCCCUAUCUGUUCCACGGCCACAGGUGAGCAAAAGCGGAAACACUACCCACGAGUUCGUAAUUGAAAGCGGGUAUAAAACGAUCAAUCUGAGUCUCAAAUAAUAAAAAGAGCGAAAUUAGUAGAUGAAAAUAAGCAUGUGUUUUUUCCUUAAUUUCCACAUUCAUGAAUUUGACUUCCCCCCAGUCCAAGUACCAAGCAAGAACAAAGGUAGAGUACUUGAUGACUUUUGUCAAAAAAAAAAAGGAAAAAAAAGGCUACUUGAUGACUGGCUAUCAGUCCGAAUCCAAGUAGAAACAAAGGUAGAAAGACAAACCACAACAGUACGCAUAAGCAAGUGAAGAAUCAUUUACAGAGUUUAGAUUAUUACAUUUCUAAUACCAUUAGGUCCCAUAUACUAUGCUUAAAAGUAAAAUUUUCUGACAACUUAAAGGGGUUUUGCCCUUGGUCAGCGUGCCAUCAUGUUCAUUUUACAUCAGAGAAGAGAAGCAACUAGAAGUCCAAGUUCCAAAAAUUGUAUUUCUAACAUCUAGGUUACAAAGAAAGCCACAUGGCCACGACAGGGAACCAAAACCGUAAGUACAGGCAUGUACAUUAUAUUUGAACCAGAUAAAGUUCACAUAAGGUUCCUAUGGGGAAAAGAGGAAAGUUUGGGUCAGCCUAAACGAACUUGCCUGUCUUUUCUUCUUUUCUUCAAUGUUCUCUGCCUCUUUGGAUGGGUCAUCCGCCUCUACAAGGUCUUGAACCCUUAAUCCAGAGGGGCUGUGUGCAUGUGUCCAUCAAAUUGCAUAUGCUGGGCUAUUCAUUGAACAUUUGAACGCAUACCAUGCGCAAGCCCAAUUACAAAAAAAACAGUGCACUAACUUCAGCGCCCCACAUUGUUGGUAUCUGGAACACAUGGGGUCGGGCAGAAAAGAGAUUGUAUAUGUCCAGGCCAUGAGCUGCACGUGUAGGCUGGAUUAUUAUUAUGCUAAUUCACUUGGACCAAUCCAUAGCCAUUCAUGCGUACUAUGGAGCCUCUUCUUUGCCAGCAUUUGAGAGGCUGGAUCGAAUUCAAACCCUCCUACAGCUCAUGUUUGAAACAGUUAGUCCCAGCCUUUGCUUUGGCUACAAGGGGAAAAAGAUAAUAGCCACAAUCAGAGAUCUUGUUUCACUAUCAUCCAUAGUAACUAGCAGCCAUAUCACGUGUUGGGCAUGCUACAGUAAUCCUUUCUUUUGUUGAUCUGGAAAUAUGGUAACAAGGUUAAUUGGACAUAUGUGAGUGCUAAUUCCAAAUGUUGUAAAUAAACCAGAAAAUCAAAAUUGUCCAAUUCAAUAUUAAUGGAAAUUUAUCCAAGAAAAAAAAGGUGAAAACACAUGAAAAGAAGUGCUGAUGACUUUAUGGGGUGUGAUACAAAUAUUUCUGUGUGAAAAAUGGUAGCUAACUAUAACUGAUAUGUUGCUCAUAAAAAAAGAAAGUAAGGGUACAACAAAAAGUAUACCCAAGUAAGAUCAAUAGAACCAUAGGUACACAAAGGAAAGAUGCAUUUACAAAGUGAUCCAUAAAUUGUUCAGCAGAAAAUCAAAACUUAUGCCAGAAAGAUUACUCCAAAUAAUAAGAUUGCCACUUAACAACAACCAGGGCAGAAAUCAACUGAGAAGGGGCACAUACCAACUAGGCAAACAACAAUGAACAGUACUGUAGAACACAAAAACUGAGGUCUCAGCUUCAGCUGAUCUUGGACAUGAUGAAAGAUUGUUUGGAACCAUUUUUCUGGUUUUCAAUCCAACCACUCAUUUGGAUUUCAAAAGAAGGGAAAUAACAAAAAGCCACCUACAAGUUUUACAAGAUUUUAGUUUCUGACCACCCUUAGAAUCCUGUGUUGCUUCAUGGUAGAUUAUGUCGUGCAAACAGUCUUCGACUGAUUCAUCUCUUGCCACAGUGGACCAUGUGGGUGUUAAACUCAGUGGAGUUUUAGCCCAAUUCUAGAAAUUGCGCACAUGUUUAGCAAAAUCAAUUGGGUUCAAUGAACAUUCCACAUAUGUGCAUGCAAAUGGACACAAAAAUCUGCUACUUUACUAGAUUGUUGGCACAGAUAUCCAUGCAUAUAGGGUGGCCAUUGUCACACAGAAUGCCACACCAUCUCAAUAGCUGUUCAAACUCAAUGCUGAGGAUCAGCUAGAACAUAAUCAACAAAAAGUAUACCCAAGAGCAUAAUCAACAAAACCUCUGCAAAAAAGGUAGCCCCAAACCUCUCUGCAAAAUCCAGCCAAACACCACCCAAAUGCCAAAUCCAAACAUUUGUCUCAACUUUGCUAUUUUACAGGAUAAUGCUGCCACACCCUCUACCUCCCAUCCACACCACCAUUUCCCUUGUUGUCAUGGGCAUCCCCUAGCCUUAGCUGUGUAGCUGGCGUCUCAAGAAGUGAACAGUACGAGAAGUCAAGCAUCGGGACCCAAGUCAGAUUUAAGGUCCACACUGGCAAGUGAUGGGCCAGACAAUUUGCUACAUCAGGUGUCCACGCGAGCAGCCACUUGCACGAUCAACACAGGAUCCAAAGGGAGGUGAGAAUUUGAAACCACAUAAAACUUGUGGGAGGUUGACUGGAACAAAUGUACUUGUGGGUGUUUUUUUUCCCUGAAAAACACACCAACUUGUCCUCUGGGGAGCUUUUGUUACUUUCUUUCUAAGAAUAGUCCAGUGUGAAAAGGUUUUAAGACUCAUUUAUUUUAUAAUUGAGCAACAAUCCUGCAAUCUGAUGAAUUUUGAACCCUAAUGCUGUUCUCCUUUUGGAUCAGGUAGACAACACAUCUUUGACAAAAUUAAAGAAAAAAAACACUAUUUUCCUUAGACUGACCACCCAGGUCCUUGAAAUUCCAAUCAAGAAACUAAAGAACGAAAGUUCAAUAUGUUGUCCUUGCACUUGUAGUGAAUGAUUACUCAAUUUCUUAGACUUCAAAAUUAACUAUAGAUCCCCGUAGUUGCAAAUCAUCUCUUACAAACUUGAACAUGGAAAUUAUGUAAACUAGGAUGUUAAACCUUAUUAUGCUAGUUUUCUGACAAGGAGUUCUUCAGACGUUUCACAGCAGGAAGGUAUAAAUGAGUUGCUCAUCAAGACAAAUGAAGGCUUUAAUGGCCUUUAUCAGGAUUUUAAUAUUAUUGAGGAUCCCUUGUGCCGCUCAGAGGUUGCAUAUCACUAGUUACCCUGGGGUCAGAGCCAAAGCCAAUACAGCUGCUCAAGUGUACAUCAUUAACAUCCUUUUCAUUAGGCAGAAACCGAUCAAUUUCUAAGAUAUAUCAAGCUUAGUUUCUUCUAGCAGUCAGCAGUCUAUUACCACAGAGUGCCCUCCUAAGUCACCGCCACCGCAUACACACCAGCUUCAGUUUUAUCUUGAGAACAUCAGUAAAAAAAAGAAGUGACAGAAAGAUUGCUGUACGUUAUAACGAUAACCAGCAGCCACACAUAAGGAGACCUAUGGUUUAAAAAACAUAAAGUAAGGCAAAUAGAAAAGAUUCAGGUAACCAUUGUAAGCUUGGGCAUAAUAUCAAGUUAUUACCUGGAGUCCUGGACAAUUUAGAACUAUGUAAUUUCGUUACGCUAGUAAUGAAAUUCAGUUUAACCAUUGUGGAAAAAGUUACCUGGACAAUUUGCCCAUGCACAAUGAAGUCACAUCUUUGAAUCAUAUCCAAGGUGUCCAUCCCUCGUACAUAUUGCAUAAGUUGUCGAUGCUUGUUGCUUGUUUAAGAAGAUAAUCAACUUGCUCAGAAAUAUUCAAGGACCUUGACAGAAUAACAUGAGAUCAAUAAAACAAGAAAUGUAAAUAAAUAAAAUUGACUGCUAAAAUUCUUCCUCUUAAUUGCCCACCUGGUACCAUCUAUAUCCUGUCCAUGUAACUUAUGCUCCACUUGCUUCAGGAUGGACAGAGCAAAAGGAUUUUUACCUGUUGCCAUCAAUGAGAACAAGCAAAUGCUAGUUGUAAAUUUGUUUCAGCUUCAGAAUGCUUAAGGCAUUUACUUGAUUAGAAGCUAAGAAGUUCUCAGACACAAAAAAGACUAUGAAAAUACAAAGGUAUGAGUAUUUACAAUAUUCAAUCUCCCACAAAGAACUAACAUGAGAGAAAAUUACUCACCUUUUUGCAUUAAUCUUUCUUAUAUAAACCAAAAAUAGAUAGCAUACUGAGUAUAAGGUUGAUUAAGUUAAAGAUGUCUAAUGUCUUAUUAUUAUUUUUACAGUAUAUGCAAUUUUAGUUGCUUCUUAGAUGAAAAUUAUUCGGUGUCGACAUAGUGAUGCCUGCACAUUUACAAACAGAUUAAAACAAUAAUGAUCUGAUAAUUUUAAGUGUCGAGAUACACAAUACAUCUCUUAUAUUAGUUUUCAGAGCGGCAUAGUUUUCUGUCAGACAAAACAAUUCAGUAAAACCAAAAAGAAGUAUCAGAUACAGGCCAUCAACCCUUUUAUUUUUGUCUUACCUCUGCUCACUCGAGUAGUCGAGUCACUAUAGGAUUUAGGAUCGCUGUUGUCACAUUCUUGUCCUCUAACUUGUUUGAAGGCUGCUGCACUGUUAUCUGCACUUUCAAUCCUUCCCUCCACCAAAUCGGUUUCAACUUCCUGAUUGUUGCUACUGUCUUUUGUUUCCUGGUCAGUAGCACCAGGACCUUCUAUUUCAGCCCCAUCAUCCAUAAGAGCAUCUAUUUUCUCUAAGUUGUCAUAAGAACUAAUCUGGGUCAAUCCUGUAGUACAUCCAGAACUGCUAGUAUAUGAGUGCUCUGGAGGUGAAAUCCAACAUCCAUCUUGCAAAGAAACGUCGGUAUUCAUUUCUAAAUCUGAAGAACCACAAUCUGUGCCACCUGGAGAUGCUCUAUCCUUCUCAGUUGAUGGAUCACUUUGCAAAAGAUCAGGAUGUGUUGAGAGCAUAUCCUGGGAUCUCACAGAUUCCCUUUCUCCUGGAACUUCUAGAGCCUGUGAAUAAGAAAAAAAGAUGAGUGAGAUAAUAGAUACCUAGACAAAUGUAGCAAAAAGAAAGGGUUAGUGUUAAACUUAUGUAUGUACACCAAAAUACAUCUAUAUUCCUUGUAAAAAAUAGCAAUAAAAAAUGACUAAAUAGACAAAGUAGAAAUGUCUGUACGUCACAUGAGUAUUUACAAAUUCAGAUUCGCAUACAUUGACCAGGAAGUUCAAACAUGGUCAAGCUUCUGCUAUAUAUUACUGCACCUGAAGCUUUGCAAAAUAUUCACCUCUUUUAUUAUUUUCACUUAAAUUUCAAACUGUGAUUGCAAAUGAUUAACAUGCUCUCAACAUAUAACAUUUCUUAGCUAAGUACCUUGUGAAGAUUCCCAGCAUGAAGACUUGAGAUGUGUCCAAGCUUCAUUACCAUGGAAUGCAGUUCCUUCGCAUUCUCAGUGAGUGGACCCACCAGAGGUUCCAUAGUUUUGCAAGCUUCCCUAACUUUAAUGUUAUAAGAUUGGUGUAAUGCCUUUCCAUGAAUAAGAGGCAUACUAGCAUUAUUCUUCUCUCUUUCCUUUGAAAUCGCUUCAGACAUAACAGUUACAUCAGCACAUAGACAGGCUUCAAGUGGAAAUAAAAUUGUAUUUGCCUGUUGAGCACAAAACAUAAGCUCUUCUUCAGAUUAAAAAAAAAAGCAAUGCCAUGUUCUACCAAAAACAAUAUUGAUGAUAAGUAUUUAUAUGUUACAUGAAUAUUGUUUAGCAUAUUCCAAUAAUGUUUUUUUAAAAAAAAAAAAUCGACCUGCGGGGGGUAAGACAGCCCCCAGGCAUUGCAUUAAGAAGAAGACCUUCUCACGCAGGUCUAAAAAAACCCCGAACCCCUGCUCCACCCAUACACCAGUGGCACCGUAGCCUAUGUGAGAACGACCACGACCGGGACCGGGCCUUAGACCUGUGCUUUAGCAUGGGACAGACGAGGGGAUUUUUUUAACCUUAGCCUGAAAAUUCGCUCCCACAGGGAGUCGAACCCAGGACCUAAGGAGUGCUGCCGGGUUCCUCUAACCAACUGGACUAGAGGCCCUUUGGCCAAUAAUGUUUUUAUGAUCCACAUAUAUCAAAACCAUGUCGUUAUUAAAAUUUUAAUAUACUGAAAUCUAAAAAUGUAUGCACAUGAAAAACAGGUAAAUAUAUUGAUCUUGGGGAACGAAAUUUGAUGAACAAAGAGAAGCAGUGACAAGCCUUGGAAAGGUUGGUCAUAAGGGAACUGUGCACUGCAGCAGCUUCCUUCCCCAGAGUGUACACAUCAUGCAACCCAUCUGCUAUAGCUAAAACCUGCAAAUAAUUCACCAGGAACUCAGGAACAAGAAAUAACUGAUUCAACCACAUUGUCAUGAACAACUAAAAAGAGAGUGUGACUACAUAAAACAGACCACCAGAUAUGAAACCUCUAGUUCAUCAUAGUUGAAGAGUUAAAAAUCAUUAUAGAAGUGCAUAUACGAUUCAGCAAUAGCAAACAUCGAGCUAAAUAAUAUUAAUUUCUCAAUUCAAGGUCAAUGUAGUUACAAACCAUUUGCAGACUUCCACAGCCCAAUUCACACAGUUGUCUUGACUAACUCUUAUGCAAUCAUUAAACUCAAAACAAAAAGUUUGAUCAAGAUGAUAUUUGGUUAUGUACCUCCUCGAGCAAGGAACCACAUUCAGAAGUCAAAGCAGUGCGGUCCUGUGAUACAUGUUUGAAUCCAGAUAGCAAUGCACUUGCUUCACAAGCAUGUUCAUACAUAACAACAAGAGCAUCCUGCAGAUUAGCUGGCAAAAGAUACCAAUCUGUUAUACAAUGAUAAAUACAGGGAAUAUAUCUUACAAGUUCCAACAUUGGAUGAUAAAAAAGAAACAAAGCAACAACUUCAUAAGUAGGAGUGGCAUACCUAAAGCAGAAUUUGCUUUCACAGAGCCUGCUGAAACCUGGUUGUUUGCUGAAAACAAGGCUUUUCCAGCAGCUUCCAGGCUGAGUUGACCAAGUUUCCAUUCUUGUUCUGCACCUGUUUGUAACAUAAGUAAACUAUUAUGAAACAGGAGAAACUUAUGUAGCAUAACAAGAGGAACCAUAAUGGAAGCUGUGUGCAAAACUUUCAGAUUCUGAGAAUUUGGCGAUACCCAUAUAUUUUGUUUAGUGGUAGUUGUGUAGCUGAUUACUAUAGAGCAUAAGGGGGUGUUUAGUUCCCUUCUAUUUCAAAAAAAAAAGGGUUUUGGUCCAUCAUUUUGCAUAAUGGAACUAAACACCAUGCAAAAACUUUGGCAAAAAGGUGGUUAUUCUCCAUUUUGGAUUUUGGCCUCAAGAGGCCAAAAAAAGCCCAAAAGAGCCUCAUGAGGGCAAUAAAUUCUGCAUUUUGGAUGAAACUAAACAUAACCCUGAAAAUUUUGGCAUUUUGCAUUCCAUCAUUCCAAAGUAGUUGGCAUUUUGCAUUUUGCAUUUUAUGGGGAACUAAACACCCCCUAAAUGAAAAGGUAACAAAAAUAAACAAAAGUUAUGGUACAAACAAGCAACCACAGCCUACACUAGCACAUCAGCACAAUUAACACCACAAACCACAAGAAACCAACAGGCUAUCUUCAGCAGAUGCAGCUUUUUAGAGAGAGACUAAACUAUCCAUACAAUCUCCACAGAAAUUUACCGCGCACAUGGACAGCAUCAAGCGUAACUUGAAUGGAAAUAUGAAAGGAUGAAUAAUCAACUUACAUGUAAAAGAAUGAUAUGAUGCAUCUAGACGUGCCAGGAGAUUCAAGAAAGUUUGCUGCCAGGCCCUGCCUUUGUCUGUAGAUUGUUCAGAAGCUUUAUCCUCAGGACCGAAGUAAAGUCCAUCUCUGGAUGCUUCAAACUCUAAAACAGAGGUGCAAAGUUGAACAAGAUCAGAUGCCUCUUUUUGAACCACUCGAAGCAAUCUCCUUCUUUUUAAUAUAUGACCAUGAAAUUCAGGGGGAAUUCCUGAACCCUUUGCCGUUGAGCCACCUGCACUGGAAGUAUUUGGUCCAGCACAGGCCCAUCCCAUUGCUCUCUCAAGUUGUCCUUCAGCCGAAAUAGAAAUGCUUUCACAAGCUUGCAGGAAUUCAAUUGACCUUGUUACUAAUGAGACAGAAGAUUGGAUCUUAUCUAACAAGUUGCUUCUGCUCAAAUUUAAAAUCAAAGAGAUGAACUUAUCAUCACUAAGAAUAUUUUGUGACAAAACCUUUGCCUUCUGUGCAUGUGGCGAUGAAAUAUCAUGUAGCCAUUCAACCUGAACUAUUUCCAAAAUGAUUUUGCGCAGGGCCUCAGUGAGUUCAUUUAAUUGCCUUUUCAUUAACGAAACUGCAGUACGGGCAGCUCUAGCUGUUUCAUGAGCAUUACAAUACUCCUCAAGCAUUAAUGCAACCCUUCCAACGGCAGCAGAAUCUCUUUUAGUCUGAUCUGAUUCUCUUAUUCCUUGACUCAGCUGCAGUAAAACACAAAUUUGUUCAUCCAACUUUAGGAUGAGUGCAGGAGCAAUCCUUUCUGUGACAUACCGGAAAACUUGUUUUUCCACAUGGCUUGCAAGCUUCUUUUUAAGAGUCAUGUAAAGUUGAUUAGCACUAAUACUAUGAUCAAGAGAAGAUGAAAUUUCAUGCAUGCAUAAAUCAAGAACUGAAUCAAGAAGAUUGAGUUCCCAAACGAAAAAAGCAUGAUCCUUCAAUAUGCCAGCUAAAGGCCACACCAUGUCAGACAAUGAAGAACCCAAAGACAAAGCAUCUUUAACAUUGGAAAUGGGAUGAGGGAACAUGCCAGAUGAUGAUAGCAUACGGUCAAGUGAUUCCAAGUCAGCAAAGGGCUUUGUCAAGAUUGAAAGGAGGGCCUUAAUUUGUCUAAAAUGAAACUCACUUUCCUGGUCAUGAUCCACCAAAGAUGAAACGUACUGUUUAGAAGAAAGCAAUGAAUUCAUGACACUGUCUUCUACUUUCAUAAGUGACGAAAUACGCAUAUCUUUCUGGCUCCAUGUUUCAUGUAGUUGUUCCAAUUGUGCCCUACAGAUUUCCUCCUGUGAAGCAAGCUCCUCUGCUUCUUCCCAUGAUAGAUGUUCUCUACCUCUUGCAGCAGCUUCUUCAAGAGCUAUUUGCUGCUCAGUAAUUCUGCCAACUUUCACAGAGUAAUUCUGUUCCAAUUCAGUAAGAGAUGCUCUCUCAAGUUCUACCUCAAUCAGCUUCCUUAGAGCAUUAUCAACAGAACCACGUACCUCAGAAAUUGACCUGAUGAUUUCCUUUACCUCUGAUUUAUGUGGAACAACUGAUCUGAUAAAUUCUGGAAGAAAAGUUUCAGUGAUUUGUUCAAUCAAGUUGAUACUUGAGUGCAAAGCGGCCUGAAAAGUAGAAGCCCAGUGCCUAGGACUGGGCUUUGCAUAAGUAGCACUUGUUUCAGCUAAGGUUUUCCCAAUAACUUCAUGCACUUCAUCAACAACUCCAGAGAUUAAUGCACAUUUUUCUAUGUGUUGUUCGAAAACUUGCAAGCUCAUUCCAGCAACAGCUUGAAGACCAGAAUCAUCUGUCCUAAAUUUAGCUUUUCCAAUAGCUUUAGUUGAGAGCUCAGAUACUUUGGCUCUAAUAUCACUAUAUAACUGACCCACAGCAAUCCCAAGAAUAGAGAGCACCUUACCUGUUGUCUCUUGUACAUCACCCUUGGUGGGAGUUUUGAUCUCACCCUGCUGAGGAUUUCCUGAAUGCGACAAAUGAGUAUUAUCGCCAUCCUUCUUUUGUGAAGGAAAUUGAACAGAGUUCAUGAAUGCAGAAAGUAUCCGCUCUUUGGAUUGCACUUCAUUAUUCAACCCAAUAGAAUUCAUCAGUUCAGAACACUCCCUCACAAGUCUUUCCACACAUGAAACAUAACUUUCCAUUUGAUUUAAGAGAUCCCGAUAUCUUUGUUGCACUAGAUUAAUGCCUUCACCUUGAACCUUAGCAAUGACUUCUGCAGCCUGCCUUUUGGCAAGGGAAAGCAUAUCUUGUGAUGUACUUCUUACAGAGAGCUGCAAGACUUGCGCCCAACCAGUGAUCGGACUGGUUGUGAUGUAGUUAACUGGAAGAACUUGCUUCAAGACUAAAGAAUAUUCACCAAGUGAGUCUAAAGCAGAGGAAAGUCCACCCUGUAACUCAGAUAAUAAUUGAGAAACCUCCCUAUCCAAUUCCGAGCACUGUGCUCUUGUUGGUUCUGGUACAACUGUAAGUGGGACUCCUGAUUCUAGGACGGCUGAAAUAAGGCUCAAUGCCUCGUCCUUACAAUUCAACUGCAUGCAUGACUCAACGCAUGCAACAGAGUUCUCCCGUAUAGCAUCAAGAACCAGUGCAUGUUUUUCCACCCAUAUUGCAAGCUUGUUAGCUUCAUCAACUGCCGCAGCUUUUGCUUCUGCUAACUCAUGAGCAUGAAUUUCAAAUGAAGUGCGAGAUUUCUCAGCAACUGAUGUAGCAUCAGCUAGGACUGACUUAGCCGACAUUUCAUGCUGCAAAACACUUGAUCUCUCUUUCUCAGCAUGAUAAAAUAUAGCCGAUGCAGCUUCAUACUGAUCUAAAAUAUCCAAGAAUUUCUGCACAUAGUAAAAGUUAGCAGGAGAUUAAAAAUAUUUUAUUUGAAAUACUUAACCUGUGAGUAACAAAAUUGUAAAGAAUACCUUUAGAGAAGAUACUGUAGCUGGCAAAUUAGUUAAGAAAAGAUCCUUGUGCUCCUGGCAAAAGGAAAGCGUUCAAUCAGAUAGUGACAAUAAUAAUAAAAAUAACUUAUAGUUCAGGACAGGCAACAUCACAAAAUGGGCCUCAAUCCUGAAACAGUAAUCAUAGUGUUCAUGUACUAGUGUGUGAAAGAUGGAGUCAGAGCCAAUGUGUGAGUUCCUCUCUAGAGGUCUUGGGUCAAGUUUGAAAUUUGAGACAGAGGUACAAUAUUAGAUGUGUGUUAGAGAGAGAGAAAAAAAGAUGGAAUCAGAGAGGCUAUAUCAUCCAUUUUAUUCCUACAACCAUAGUUCUUAAGGCGUAAAGGCGAGGCAUGACAAUGCGCCACCGCUUGGACGCCCGCCUUGGAUGCCUAGGCGCCCGCGUUGCCCGCCUAGGCGACCAUUUUGCAAGGCGCUGGGGGGUCGCCUGGACGCCAUAAGAACACUGCCUACAACCUUAUCAGAAAAAAAUCAUAGAUUUUUUUUUAGAUAAUGGAUAAAAAAAUCUAUGAUAUUUUUCAGAACCAAUCAUAGAUAAUGAAACAAUUAUUAAUCAUGCACCACUAACCUACUAUAUAUUUCUUAGGAAUAAAUUAAACAAGAAAGUUUGGUUAUAAACUUAUAACCAUGCAUACAACAUCAGUUAGCUAAUUUGAUAGUGUCCCUACGUUUGCUUCAAUCACUGAUAAGUACAAAUUUUAUAUAUCAAACGGUACGCCAUCAUCUUCAGUAAGCAACUUUGGCCAGCAAAAUUAUUGGUAAAGGGAAAAACAUGUUUGGAAGUACUUCUGAUGACAAAUAACAAUCUAAAAGUGCAACCUUCAUGUUUAAGAACUAAUAAAUCUAAGCAGUCAAAGCUAAAGUCUGACCACUCAAAUUCUAAAACGGUGUAUAUUUCUGGGAAGAAGUUUUACUUAGUAAAUACAAUAAGAGUGCAGAUUUUCCACAAUGAAGCGUGUGUUUAGUAGCACCUCCCUGUUAAAUUAAUCACAAAUGAUAGAUGCAGAGAAACUUUCCAACUCGAAUAGAUAACAGUUACCUGCAAAGGAACACGGAUUUCUUGAAUUCUAGAAGAGAACAAGCUCAAACUAACUGCUAAUUCCAUUCCUUUCUUCUCUUCACCGGCAAUUCCUGCUUCAUCUUGGAUAUUUCCACGUGUCCACUCAAUCAAUGGAUCCCAAACAAAUACUUCCAACAACAUCAAGAUGAUAUCUUUGUUCUUCAAGAGGACAUCCAUAACUUCCUCACAAGUAACUCUAAAAACACCUUCCACGCCAGUCAAUCCUAAAGCUGAUUCAAUAGUUUGAGUGAGACGGAAUGGAACAAUUUCUGGAAUCUUCAACCUCUUCCCUUUAUCAAAGCAUAUGUUGUAAUCAAUAUGAACUACAUCCCCAUUGCUGAAAUCCAUAAGAAUGUUGUCCAAAUGUCUAUCUCCAAGACCCAGCAUAUGGCCAACUAUGCUCAUGGCUGCUACGCUGCUGGAGAAUCUGCAAUGAGAAAAUGAUUCAUAGUUAAGCAAUCGUCAACAGCAAAUUUAGUUAUCAGGCAUUAAAAUUAUUAAAAUCAAGAAGAAAGAAGGGCUAUCAUAGCACUCUUUGGUAACCUGCGUUAUGUUGAACAAAUGAGUAACCAAUAAUUUGUUCAUCAAUGCAUUUUGACCUUAUUUUUCAAAAAAAAAAUGCAUUGUUGACCUUCUUUAAAUUCAGUUACCAUAUGCAUUAAAAUACAUCAUUGCAUGGGAAGGGUUACUUCACAAAGUUACUUAGGCCCUGUUUGGAUGCAUUAGCUGCUAAUAGUUAGCUAGCUCAGGAGUUUCUCUCCCUUGCACUAUUCUUGUCUCUCCUUUGUAUUCUUUCUCUUCUUAAUGAAAUGACAAGCAGCUCUCCUCGUCGUUUGAGGGAAAAAAUAGUUAGCUAGCUAAUAGCUCACACCUGAUAUUAGCUAGCUAGAUAAUUAUUAGUUGCUAUUAGCUGUGAAAUAGUUGUUAGUUGGGUAUUCAGCUAACAAUUAGCUGGACCCAUUUGGAUCCAAAGAAGCUAAUUGUUAGCGGCUACAGUAACUGAUAGCUCUAAUGGAUCCAAACAGGGCCUUAUACACACAAAAUUCUUAACCAGAGUUCCUAAUACUAACAUGAGUUUUUGUUAGAGUAUGUGUAAUGCAGGCCCAUGUGGCUAGGCCCAUGAGGCCCAUGUAUCCCUAAUUAUAUGGCACCCUGGUUAGGGUUAGCCCAAUCAAUGAAACCCUAAUUCUAACAUGGUAUCAGAGCUCAGGGGCGUCCGCGACGUCCUCCACGGCAUCAGCACGCGCCCCGUCCGCAGGCGCUCGCGCUGCAGCCGCGCGAGCCGCCGCGUCCGCGUGCACCGCUGCCUCCGUGCGCGCCGCAGUGUCCGCGCGCGCCGCAGCCUCUGCGCGCGCCGCGGCGUCCGCACUCCGCAGCGACCGCCGGUUCCGCGCCCGCGACGGCCGCCAGGAGGAGAGGAGUGCGGGCCGCGCCCGCUGGCUGCUGCAGAGGAGGUCGGGGCUGCCCCCCCGCGGCGGCGGCUGAUUCCGCGCCCGCGAUGGCCGCCAGGAGGAGAGGAGGGCGGGCCGCGCCCGCUGGCUGCUGCAGGGGAGGUCAGGGCUGGCCACCCGCGGCGGCGGCUUGGGCCCAGGAUGGGCAGGGGAGCGCCGGAAACUGCUGGAAAUAGGGAGGAGGAGGAGGGGGAGGAGGCUCCCGGCCUGCCAUGGCGGCGGCAGCGGCGCCCAGGCAGCUGGUCGGCCGGCGGCGGCGGCUGCUGGCCUGGAGGCGGCUGGGCGGAGGAGGAGGAGGAGGAAAACCUUGGCUGGUACCAUGUUAGGCAUGAGAAGAACUAUAAAAAGGAAGACGAACAUGACGGCCCAGUUGGCACGCAUGACACAAAUGCUCAUCGUGAGCCCGAGUACAUCGAAUAUCGGAACUACGACUAAGCUGCAUCAGGGCAUCACGUCCAGGAUGGCCGAGACGCCGGUGCCAAGUAGUGGAGAUGGAUCUACACUUCGUCCGGGACCGGGUCGCUGUCGGCGAUGUUCGGGUCCUCCACGUCCCGACUACCUCCCAGUUCGCCGACAUCUUCACCAAGGGUCUCCCGUCCUCGACCUUCACCGAGUUCCGCUCCAGCCUCAACAUCACCAGUGGCUAGUUGUGUCUGUGGGGGGGGCUCGUGUGUUGUCCUUCUUUUCUUGUUCAGUCUGCAAACUCCGCUGCGCCGGUAGUUCAGACUGCUAGGGGGUGUUAGAGUAUGUGUAAUGCAGGCCCAUGUGGCUAGGCCCAUGAGGCCCAUGUAUCCCUAAUUAUAUGGCACCCUGGUUAGGGUUAGCCCAAUCAAUGAAACCCUAAUUCUAACAGUUUUGAACUUUAAAUAAUGAAGAUGCCCUGCACACACAUCAAACUCUUGUCAACGCUAGUAGAAUCAAAUCCAUGACAAAGUACUGUGCACAAAACUGGGAAGACUGUCUUCACCUCAGCUUCCACGGAAGGCCCAAAUACCAAAUACUAAGGACUAGGGAUUUGCAACCAUUUAGUUCAGCAAAUUCUCCUCUUUCUUUCUUCCAAGAAAAGAGUAAACAUCUUUUUUCCUUCAACUAUUGUUUAAGAAUAUGUUCUUUACUCAUUAAGGAUUAAGAGUGCAACAGUCAACUAAAGCAAAAAUUCAAUUUAAUAUAUAAUUAUAUACUCCCUCCAGUGACAAAAAAAUGUCGUUAUGGACAAGAUUUAAUUAAACCUUUAGAAAAUAAGUUUAGCUUGAAAACAUAUAAGUUAUGCGUGUAAUUGUACUGAAAAAUACUGCAGGAUAUUAUAGGUGUGAAAGAUUUUAAGAAUAUAUUCUAGAAGAAAUUAGUGGUCAAAGAUAUACAUCGUAGACUAUACAAAGUCAAAUGUGACAAGUAUUUGUGAACAGAAGGAGUAUGUCUCCUAUGCCUAAUGCAGGAACGGUUUCCCAGAAUACCAACAACUAACAGCCUACUCGUUCUUUGAGGAAGUAACAACUAGUAGCAGAGAAAAAAUACACAAUCUUUUCCCAGGAAGGUCAGGGUGUUGAGCUGCUGGCCUCCCCUAACAGUGGCAAAGAGCAAGUGGUGGCGGAUAAUGUAAAUUCUGUGUUCAAAAUAAAGGUGCCAUGCUUCCACAUACCUAUUUACUUUGGAGUUAAAGUUUCUGAACCCUUCGCUUGCACACCACAUUUCUUGCCACAGAAUCUGUUUCGGAGUCUCAUUCAUAAGCUCCAAUAGAACUUUUCUUUUAACGUCUAGUGGCCAAUCUCUUCGUGAGACUACCCUUUUGAUCCCUUUUUCUUUCAGUGCUGGUAUAAUCUUCCCAUAGAACAUGUCACUUGGACGGGGAACAGGUGCAACAGGGUUGUGAAUGUUAC
RNAcentral lists this long non-coding RNA (17613 nucleotides) under Sorghum bicolor (sorghum). RNAcentral's name for it is "long non-coding RNA (SBIC_LNC000125)". The record is from RNAcentral. Lineage: Eukaryota; Viridiplantae; Streptophyta; Magnoliopsida; Poales; Poaceae.